UACGUAUGGUGCAAGCGUUAUCCGGAUUUACUGGGUGUAAAGGGAGCGCAGGCGGCACGGCAAGCCUGAUGUGAAAGCCCGCGGCCCAACCGCGGGACUGCAUUGGGAACUACCGGGCUGGAGUGCCGGAGAGGUAGGCGGAAUUCCUAGUGUAGCGGUGAAAUGCGUAGAUAUUAGGAGGAACACCAGUGGCGAAGGCGGCCUACUGGACGGUGACUGACGCUGAGGCUCGAAAGCGUGGGGAACAAACAGG
This 253-nucleotide ribosomal RNA is filed under the name uncultured bacterium. RNAcentral describes it as "partial 16S ribosomal RNA". It matches the Rfam family "Bacterial small subunit ribosomal RNA", at positions 524 to 776 of the family's 1533-position model. The record is from RNAcentral.